UAAAAAUUAGUUAAUAAAUAACAUCAGCUUGUCAGGCUGAAAUAAUCACCCUAGAUAUUUUUAU
This 64-nucleotide transfer RNA is filed under the name Cherax crassimanus. RNAcentral describes it as "tRNA-Asp". Lineage: Eukaryota; Metazoa; Arthropoda; Malacostraca; Decapoda; Parastacidae. The record is from RNAcentral.